GGUAGUUAUUCAUGAUAACUUUGUCAUAGAAAAAAUAGAUAAGUACCUUAAUGUGUGCAUGGGUUUUUAUGCCCCACCUACAAUAGUAACGGGGCAUUAUGUUUUCUGGUCUUGUUUUCAUUAAUCUGUCUAUCCCAUGUCAGGUUAAAGUUUUUAGUCUAGGUAGCUUUUGAUGAAUUUGAAGUCCAAUCAACCUGAAACGAUCUUCUAAUUGUUAGGUUUUGACCCCAAUUUCAUGGUUCACGGAACAUAGAAAAUGAUAGUGUGAGUGUGGGGCAUCCGUGUACUAUGGACACAUUCUUGUUUCAAAUAAUAGUUAUAAAACUUUUCAAAAUCUGAG
This 340-nucleotide long non-coding RNA is filed under the name Mytilus galloprovincialis (Mediterranean mussel). Lineage: Eukaryota; Metazoa; Mollusca; Bivalvia; Mytilida; Mytilidae. The record is from RNAcentral.